Molecule: ribosomal RNA, 433 nt
Filed under: uncultured bacterium
Lineage: Bacteria
Description: partial 16S ribosomal RNA
Rfam family: Bacterial small subunit ribosomal RNA
Source: RNAcentral
AACGAACGCUGGCGGCAUGCCUAACACAUGCCAGUCGAACGAGACCUUCGGGUCUAGUGGCGCACGGGUGCGUAACGCGUGGGAACCUGCCCUUAGGUUCGGAAUAACUCCCCGAAAGGGGUGCUAAUACCGGGUAAUGUCUUCGGACCAAAGAUUUAUCGCCUUUGGAUGGGCCCGCGUUGUAUUAGCUAGUUGGUAGGGUAAAAGCCUACCAAGGCGACGAUCCAUAGCUGGUCUGAGAGGAUGGUCAGCCACACUGGGACUGAGACACGGCCCAGACUCCUACGGGAGGCAGCAGUGGGGAAUAUUGGACAAUGGGCGAAAGCCUGAUCCAGCAAUGCCGCGUGAGUGAUGAAGGCCUUAGGGUUGUAAAGCUCUUUUACCCGGGAUGAUAAUGACAGUACCGGGAGAAUAAGCUCCGGCUAACUCCGUG